GCCCCCAUAGCUCAGUGGAUAGAGCACCGCCCUCCGGAGGCGGGUGCGGGCGUUCGAAUCGCCCUGGGGGCG
RNAcentral lists this transfer RNA (72 nucleotides) under Propionibacteriaceae bacterium. Its description in RNAcentral is "tRNA-Arg". It matches the Rfam family "tRNA". From Rfam's summary of the family: Transfer RNA (tRNA) molecules are approximately 80 nucleotides in length. The record is from RNAcentral. Lineage: Bacteria; Bacillati; Actinomycetota; Actinomycetes; Propionibacteriales; Propionibacteriaceae.